Molecule: non-coding RNA, 988 nt
Organism: Camelina sativa (false flax)
Lineage: Eukaryota; Viridiplantae; Streptophyta; Magnoliopsida; Brassicales; Brassicaceae
Source: RefSeq, a predicted model, not a curated record
ACCACAUGCGCGUCAACAGAUGAUUGGCUGAGGAUUCUUUUUUGUUACUCUUCGUUGCCUUGUCGCGUCUCUCUCUCCCUUUCUGUAUUUGGCGAUUGGUUCGACGACGAAGGCUGUGAACAAGGGUGAUGCUUCUGCUGUUGUUAAGUUGAAGAGCGCUAUCAAAUUCAACGGCGGAGAGAGGAUGAAGGGAUCUCUUGGCAGCGCUAUUGACACUCACUUUGGCUCCCUAGCUAGAAGGUUUAGUGAAAGAUGAGUGCUGAAGGUGCAAGGCUCAGGAUGGCUGAUAUACAAAAGAGCAGGUGAGGCGGCAUGUGAAGCUUUGUUGACUAGGUUAAGCGAGCAGAAAGUUUCUCUUUGAAGACAGACUCAUGAAAUGGAUCUCCCGGUCCUUAGCUGCGAAGUGCAUUCUUGCAGCUAGGUUUGAUGCGGGAGACUAUGGCGUAGUUAAAGGGCUUCACUACAGAGCUUAUGUAGGGAGAAGGUUGGAGAGGGAGAUGAAUACGAGAGUUUUUAGGAAUCUGCGUAGAUAACAAAACUAUUGAUGCAUACUAUGAGCAUUUGCACAAUUGCACUAGUACAGUAUGAAAAACGUGAUUUUGUUAAAAGGGUAAGAAGACGCAGGCUUGUUGGCUGCGGCAGACGCAACUCUUGCGACGACCGAUGGUAGAAGCGCUUUGAUGUUUUCUAACUUGUGUGCAUGAUACAAGUUUCGGUAUUUCUUAUGUUCUUUUUGUCGAAAUAUUAUGUAUAAUUUUUUAUGGUUUUAUAAAAGUUUGUUGCAUAAAAUAAACGUAUAUAUUAUAUCAAUGAAUUAUACAUAUUUUAAAUAUUUCGUAAACCCAAAGCUCUCAAAUAAUCCGAAGAUCCAAAGGAUUAUAAUUCAUAUAAACUAUAAACCCAGUGAAACUUUGAGAUUAAAGUGUUUUUAAAGGAAACUAAAAAAGAUAUUGUAUAGAUAUUUUUUGAAUAUGAUGUUAAAUGUAAA